This 59-nucleotide ribosomal RNA is filed under the name Gilbertiodendron ogoouense. RNAcentral describes it as "partial 26S ribosomal RNA". Lineage: Eukaryota; Viridiplantae; Streptophyta; Magnoliopsida; Fabales; Fabaceae. The record is from RNAcentral.
GAUGCGACCUCAGCUCAGGCGGGGCCACCCGCUGAGUUUAAGCAUAUCAAUAAGCGAGG